Molecule: non-coding RNA, 33 nt
Filed under: Mus musculus (house mouse)
Lineage: Eukaryota; Metazoa; Chordata; Mammalia; Rodentia; Muridae
Source: RNAcentral
CAAUCCCCAAUUGGAUGGCCAGUCCCUGACUUA